GGCUCAGGAUGAACGCUAGCGGCAGGCUUAACACAUGCAAGUCGAGGGGCAGCAUUCUGAUAGCUUGCUAUCAGUGAUGGCGACCGGCGCACGGGUGAGUAACGCGUAUCCAACCUGCCUGUCACUCAGGAAUAGCCCGGUGAAAACCGGAUUAAGUCCUGAUGAUAUCAUUAGAGGGCAUCUGACGAUGAUUAAAGGUUACGGUGACAGAUGGGGAUGCGUCUGAUUAGCUUGUUGGCGGGGUAACGGCCCACCAAGGCAACGAUCAGUAGGGGUUCUGAGAGGAUGAACGGCCACAUUGGGACUGAGAUACGGCCCAGACUCCUACGGGAGGCAGCAGUGGGGAAUAUUGCACAAUGGGGGAAACCCUGAUGCAGCGACGCCGCGUGAGUGAAGAAGUAUUUCGGUAUGUAAAGCUCUAUCAGCAGGGAAGAAAAUGACGGUACCUGACUAAGAAGCCCCGGCUAACUACGUG
Molecule: ribosomal RNA, 475 nt
Filed under: uncultured bacterium
Lineage: Bacteria
Description: bacterial SSU rRNA
Rfam family: Bacterial small subunit ribosomal RNA
Source: RNAcentral